GACGAACGCUGGUGGCGUGCUUAACACAUGCAAGUCGAACGGAAAGGCCCUGCUUUUGUGGGGUGCUCGAGUGGCGAACGGGUGAGUAACACGUGAGUAACCUGCCCUUGACUUUGGGAUAACUUCAGGAAACUGGGGCUAAUACCGGAUAGGAGCUCCUGCUGCAUGGUGGGGGUUGGAAAGUUUCGGCGGUUGGGGAUGGACUCGCGGCUUAUCAGCUUGUUGGUGGGGUAGUGGCUUACCAAGGCUUUGACGGGUAGCCGGCCUGAGAGGGUGACCGGCCACAUUGGGACUGAGAUACGGCCCAGACUCCUACGGGAGGCAGCAGUGGGGAAUAUUGCACAAUGGGCGGAAGCCCGAUGCAGCAACGCCGCGUGCGGGAUGACGGCCUUCGGGUUGUAAACCGCUUUCGCCUGUGACGAAGCGUGAGUGACGGUAAUGGGUAAAGAAGCACCGGCUAACUACGUG
RNAcentral lists this ribosomal RNA (468 nucleotides) under uncultured bacterium. RNAcentral describes it as "partial 16S ribosomal RNA". It matches the Rfam family "Bacterial small subunit ribosomal RNA", at positions 28 to 507 of the family's 1533-position model. The record is from RNAcentral.